RNAcentral lists this long non-coding RNA (342 nucleotides) under Physcomitrium patens. Its description in RNAcentral is "long non-coding RNA (PPAT_LNC005620)". The record is from RNAcentral. Lineage: Eukaryota; Viridiplantae; Streptophyta; Bryopsida; Funariales; Funariaceae.
UUAGGAUUUGGUUUAGGAUGUAGGAUUUGGUUAGGAUUUGGUUAGGAUUUGGUUAGGAUUUGGUUUAGGAUUUGGUUAGGAUUUGAUUUAGGGUUUAGGGUUUGGUUUAGGAUUUGGUUAGGAUUUAGGAUUUGGUUACGGUUUGGUUUAGGAUUUAGGAUCUGGUUGGGGUUUGGUUUAAGGUUUGUUUAGGGUUUGAUUUAGGAUUUAGGAUUUUAUUAGGAUUUAAGAUUCAAUUAGUUGUGGCCUAAAGUUUGAAUGAAGUUCAAUAGGAUUUUAACUAGUAUUAAAUUAAGAUUGAAUUGAGAUGUAUUUGAAUAAUAUUUAUUGAAGAAAAGAAGU